Molecule: long non-coding RNA, 4797 nt
Organism: Zingiber officinale
Lineage: Eukaryota; Viridiplantae; Streptophyta; Magnoliopsida; Zingiberales; Zingiberaceae
Exons: 3
Source: RefSeq, a predicted model, not a curated record
GACCCACGAGCGAAAUUAAGGAAAAAUUUAUUUAUGAAAAUAUCUAAAGUCACACAAGUGUUAAUUUAAUGAUUAACUUAUAAAAUAUUCUAAGAAUUUAGGAAUUUUUGAGGGUACAAAUGAAUUUAAAUGACAUAUUUCAAGAGGAAAGAACUAUUAAAAACUGAUGGAAACAUACGAUACCUUAUUAAACUAGGAAUUAGUUGGCCUUAAUUAUACUAAGAUAGGCUAGAUAACCCACAUAUAAAAGCAAAACACCUUUGCCCAUCCAUUGUAGCCCUAAAACGCCGAUUUCAUGCCGCACUCUGCCCUAAACCCGUCGACCCCUACUCUCGCCCUUGUCGCGAGACGACGGAGCUGGUUGCCAUCGCUGGAGCUCCGACCGAGCAUCUCCCGGCGAGCCAAGCUUCACAGAGGACACCACAGUUGGGCGAGAUCUGCUAUCGAUGCGGCGGCACAUCGCACAGGCGUGGAAUGCAACAUGAAGGAAGGAAGAGGUGAGGAUGUGUCUCUGGACACGACGGAGGGCCUAUGGACGGAGUAGGCGAGGAGGCGGGAUGGACGCAUGGCAUUGUCCGGGUAUUAGGAGUGCCGAGCUUAUGUUUUCCAUGGAGGGGGAUUUUUGCUUUGGUGUUGUCGAGGGUUCUUGGUUGGGUUUUCUCUUUGUUAAACUCUUGUGUGGGAUGUUGGCUUUUACUUCCGAUAAAAUAAAUGUUUGAUUUGGUAUCAUGUUAUAAGUAUAUGCUUAGUUUGUGUUUGGUGGGUUGAUGCAAUGAAAAAAAAAAAAAAAAAAAAACUGAGGGUUGGUUACAGGAUGUUUCAAUUGGUAUCAGAGCAAGCACUCCUAAAGGACAGUAUGUGCACGCCAUCUCGUCAAGAACUCGGCUAUUUCUGCCUUCAAGUUUGUAAGGAAUGUUGUUUUAUGUUGAAGCAUAGCUAGGAUUGCAUAAUUCUUGAGCUCUCAAUAUUUUAUAUUAGUAGAGAAUUAUUUGGUUGGACCAGUAAAUACAUGACCAUUGGAAUGAACUAGUGAAGACAAAAUGAACACUGUAUUAAAAUUUAUUGGUGCAAGUAGCUUCCCUGGAAUGGAAUUGGGUUCAUUUUGGUUGAAUGAAUUGUAAUGCGAGUCUUUCGGAAUGAUCUCGUUUUGUCUUGCGCUGUUCUGGUUGUCGGAUUGGAUGCAACUACUGUUUUCUCAAGCUGGUUGCGAUAUAGAGGUUAGAGUAAGGAGGAUGUAAUAAGGUUUCAAUAAUGUAGAUUGGGCUUUAGCUGAUGAUGUUUUAAUUCUCUUUAUAGCCUCCGAAAUGUUUAACAGAUCAUUGGGUAACACAGGAUUCAUGUAGGAUGGGAAGAUUUCCAAAUCGUUGCAACUAUUCACCAUGUUCUGCUUUUCUUCACUAAAUUGCUAUGGAUUUAUGUGUAUUCAUUUUGAUGUGUUCUAUUUCUUCGAUUAGUUGUGGUUUUGAGGUUAGAUCUAAAAGAUUGAAGUAUGACUACAAUGUGGUUCUUGAUUUAGGUGUUGGUUUUGGACUUUGAUUAGUUCUUUUGGGAUGGUGUAACAAGACCAAUUGUGCCGGAUUGUUCUGCGGUUGUUGUUACUGUUUGCCGAUUGAUGAUUAUAGUUAGUGUUCGAAGGAGUUCCAUGUCCGCUUGUUGCUCUUCAGAUUUCUUGAUAGAUUUGGAAUUGUUCUUUCCCCGAUUCUAAAGCAUAUGGCAAUAGGUAUCGCUAUGAAUGAAGUAGUAAGUGCAAAGAAAGAGUUGCUUUGGUGCCAUAAUAUAAUGCUGUCAUUGUGCUCUAAGUGAAUGCUAGGAUAGGUUCUGUAAAGGAUGUUUUGGUAUUUAUGCCUAUAGAAGAGUUUUACCAGCUUUGGUUAAGUGUGAACGUAAGCUUUGGGAGGAAGAAUGUUAGUACUGGUAGAAUCAUCAACCUUACUUUUAGCUCUUUAGUAGCAGAUAUAAAGUUAUGUUGUUCUUCCUUCUAAAAUUAAUUCUAAUCCAGUAGAAAACUGCCUUUAGUAUUGAAUGCAACAUGUGAAGAUUAGUUUUUCUAUAAUUUUUUUUUUUAUAUCAACUGUCAUGUAUGCUAAUUUUAUUGUUGGAGUUUAGCUCUUUUAUAGAAGAAAUACUUUCAGUACCAAUUACCAUGUUAGGUUAGCAUUAAUAUUGGAGUCUAGUUCUUUUACAGUUGAACUAUCUGUUAUAUUUCAUAUUCUCUUUUGAUAUGGCAGUCUUGGUACUAAGUACAAUAAAAAAAAAAAAUCCAUUUCUCUUGUUAAUCCUAGCUGUAGUCGCUUGAUUUCUUUUGGGUUCGUGGAUGAAUUCCACUUGAUUUCAUGGAAGUACAGGGUUAAUAAUAUUUCCAAUUGUUGCGGAAUGUUUUGAUCCAAAAGUGGAGGUAGAUGGGUAAUUGGGUCGUAAUCGAUUAGGGGUUGACAUUGUCAAGUUCUUUAUCAUUAAUUGUUUUCGCAUUCUACUUUGUUAGGCUCUUGUUGUAGUUAAACUUUAAAUACUUUUGGGGGCAGUUCUUUAGUUUGAUGUUGAAAACUGUAACCUUAAAGAUUCAUUGUCUAGGAGGGUGGAUAACGAAAAAUCUGGAGGCUACCAACUAGAGCUGCAUUAGCUCAGUUUUAAGCCUGGGUCAUUACUGCUACAUAAUUGGGUUGCUUCUUGCUUUGUACUAUAGCUACACAUGAUUGGUUCACUGAUUUAAAUGUUUGGGCAGGCUUAUGAUUUAAUUGUAUCUAUUAAAUCUGAUGUUAUGAUCUUACAACAUAUACAUUAGAUAUCUAAAGGAUGAUGCUACACAUGCUUGACUGUAGAAAUUAGUUGAACCUCUGAUUAGAGUAAUGUUUCUCUUAUUGAUGCCAAAAAGGUUUAUUAGGAAUGGAAUUUGUUGUUGCAUUUACACCUAUAGAGAUUGUUAUGACCGGACUAUGAAAUGUUAAGUUUACAUACUCUAAAUGUUGUUUGGGAAUUGUGAUAUUUUGCUCCAAACGAAUAAAAAGAUAUGACUGAUAGGUAUGAAGGGUGGCAGAAUUAGGGUGUUAGAGUUAUGCUCUGGGUUUAUAUAUUGGUGGUUGUGGUUAUAAUUCAACUGUAGACUAUUAACAGAGAUGUUGUGUGCAUAUUAACAUGGUUUCCUUUACUGGGGGAGCAUAGGAGGAGGAUUUAAGUGUUCCUAUAUAUGUUCGUUUAGGCAUCAAAUGUCUUGUUACAAGUUUAGUUUUAAGUUCAUAUGAUUUUCUGCAUAAGUUAUAAAUUUGGACUGUACAACCUUUUGUUCUUAACUAAUGAUAUGCAUGUCCUGAUGCUGAAUUGAAAAUGUUUGGACGAGUCAUGAUACUAGGAAGGAUAUUUUGAUACAGUAGGGAUCAUGGUGGUCAUGCAAUUUGAUAGCAAGAUCAUUAUAUUUUGACACAUGUAUAGAGGGAUUUCUUGCACAUGGUUGGCUGGAGGAAGUAGUAAAUAUUCAUGCUUACAUAUAAUUACCUGUACAAGAUUGCCAUGUUUGAAUUAAGCUACAUGCAUCAGUACAAAAUGUUAGGAUGGAAUCCAAGAUUUUCAUAUCCUGGUACCUGUUUAGUUAAUAUAUUUUGCACAUGCUUGGUUGAAGAGAAGAGUUGUUAUCCAUGCUUAAAUAUAAUUACCUCUACAAAUUGUCAUGUUUGUAUUAAGUUAUAAUAUAUGCAUCAGCAUUAAAUGAUAGGAUGGAUGAUCAUAAAGUGAAAUUUGAAUAAAUUUGCUAGAAGUAAGUGUUUUUUUUCCUCUUCUUUCUGGGUUGAGGAUGAGGUAGGAGAUAGGGUAGUUUGGGCCUAGAAAUUAUGACACAUAUUGUGAAUUUAGUGGUUAAGAUUCGGGACGGGAUACAGACGACUCAAAGUCGCUAGAAGAGUUACGUCAACCAACGACGGGGGAAUUUGGAGUUAAUCAUGGGAGAUCAAAAAUAAAAAAAAAUAAAUAAAAAAAAUAUAUAUAUAUAUAAAAAAAAUGUGUAAUCGCUACCCAAAUUAUUUGAUAAGCUAAAUUUCGAGGACGAAUUUUUUUUUUUUAAGGGGGGGAAAUUGUAAGGACCCACGAGCGAAAUUAAGGAAAAAUUUAUUUAUGAAAAUAUCUAAAGUCACACAAGUGUUAAUUUAAUGAUUAACUUAUAAAAUAUUCUAAGAAUUUAGGAAUUUUUGAGGGUACAAAUGAAUUUAAAUGACAUAUUUCAAGAGGAAAGAACUAUUAAAAACUGAUGGAAACAUACGAUACCUUAUUAAACUAGGAAUUAGUUGGCCUUAAUUAUACUAAGAUAGGCUAGAUAACCCACAUAUAAAAGCAAAACACCUUUGCCCAUCCAUUGUAGCCCUAAAACGCCGAUUUCAUGCCGCACUCUGCCCUAAACCCGUCGACCCCUACUCUCGCCCUUGUCGCGAGACGACGGAGCUGGUUGCCAUCGCUGGAGCUCCGACCGAGCAUCUCCCGGCGAGCCAAGCUUCACAGAGGACACCACAGUUGGGCGAGAUCUGCUAUCGAUGCGGCGGCACAUCGCACAGGCGUGGAAUGCAACAUGAAGGAAGGAAGAGGUGAGGAUGUGUCUCUGGACACGACGGAGGGCCUAUGGACGGAGUAGGCGAGGAGGCGGGAUGGACGCAUGGCAUUGUCCGGGUAUUAGGAGUGCCGAGCUUAUGUUUUCCAUGGAGGGGGAUUUUUGCUUUGGUGUUGUCUAGGGUUCUUGGUUGGGUUUUCUCUUUGUUAAACUCUUGUGUGGGAUGUUGGCUUUUACUUCCGAUAAAAUAAAUGUUUGAUUUGGUAUCA